AGCGCAGGUGGGCUGUCAAGUCUGUCUUAAAAGUGCGGGGCUUAACCCCGUGAUGGGAUAGAAACUGGCAGCCUUGAGUGCAGGAGAGGAAAGCGGAAUUCCUAGUGUAGCGGUGAAAUGCGUAGAUAUUAGGAGGAACACCAGUGGCGAAGGCGGCUUUCUGGACUGUAACUGACACUGAGGCUCGAAAGCCAGGGGAGCGAACG
Molecule: ribosomal RNA, 206 nt
Filed under: uncultured Veillonellaceae bacterium
Lineage: Bacteria; Bacillati; Bacillota; Negativicutes; Veillonellales; Veillonellaceae
Description: partial 16S ribosomal RNA
Rfam family: Bacterial small subunit ribosomal RNA
Source: RNAcentral